RNAcentral lists this ribosomal RNA (253 nucleotides) under uncultured bacterium. RNAcentral describes it as "partial 16S ribosomal RNA". It matches the Rfam family "Bacterial small subunit ribosomal RNA", at positions 524 to 776 of the family's 1533-position model. The record is from RNAcentral.
UACGUAGGGUGCGAGCGUUGUCCGGAAUUAUUGGGCGUAAAGAGCUUGUAGGCGGCUUGUCGCGUCUGCUGUGAAAAUCCGGGGCUCAACCCCGGACUUGCAGUGGGUACGGGCAGGCUAGAGUGUGGUAGGGGAGACUGGAAUUCCUGGUGUAGCGGUGGAAUGCGCAGAUAUCAGGAGGAACACCGAUGGCGAAGGCAGGUCUCUGGGCCACUACUGACGCUGAGAAGCGAAAGCAUGGGGAGCGAACAGG